GAAGAACAUUCUUCAGGGAUGGAGAAGUACAUUUCAGAUGAAUUUAUUCCCUCAUAGUUUUUUAUUUAGAAGAGGAUGAAUUAAACUUACCACAGAAUGCUGGCUACUAACAUUUUUUCUGGGGCAUCUUUUGGAAAAAGAUGCAGCUGAAGGCAGAAUGACUCCCAGAUUUGCUGUUGCAAGCUCUCCACCUCGCUCUGUUACAGGACAGAUAAACACAGGCUGAGGGGCUCUUUCCCUGCCAUUUUCUCCUGGUAGUUUUUCCCUCUAUUUGGAUUCCACGAUAUGAUAUAUGAAGUGAAAUCAAUAAUCCUCACUUUUCAGGUUAAGGGCACAGCUGAAUAAAUAAUUCAUAAGUCAUUGGAUCA
Molecule: long non-coding RNA, 368 nt
Filed under: Parus major (Great Tit)
Lineage: Eukaryota; Metazoa; Chordata; Aves; Passeriformes; Paridae
Description: lncRNA (ENSPMJG00000005772.1)
Source: RNAcentral